UACGAGGGGGGCAAGCGUUGUUCGGAAUUAUUGGGCGUAAAGGGCGCGUAGGCGGUGCGGUAAGUCACCUGUGAAAACUCUGGGCUCAACUCAGAGCCUGCAGGCGAAACUGCCGUGCUGGAGUGUGGGAGAGGUGCGUGGAAUUCCCGGUGUAGCGGUGAAAUGCGUAGAUAUCGGAAGGAACACCAGUGGCGAAAGCGGCUUCCUGGUCCAGCACCGACAUUCAGGCACGAAAGCGUGGGGAGCAAACAGG
This 253-nucleotide ribosomal RNA is filed under the name uncultured bacterium. Its description in RNAcentral is "partial 16S ribosomal RNA". It matches the Rfam family "Bacterial small subunit ribosomal RNA", at positions 524 to 776 of the family's 1533-position model. The record is from RNAcentral.